GGGAAAGAAGCUUUCUUAUUCCAUAGCCACCUUAAGAAUAUGUUACCCAACUAAGUACGUGAUUUUCAAAUGUAUCAAGCAAAUAAAGGAAGCCAUAUUUGACAACAUAUAGAUUAGUUAUGUGUCCUCCUAAACACAAGACCUGAUACCAAGAAACCAGUAAAUUGAAAUGCUCUAAGCAAAUAAUAAAGAUUGUUUUCAGUUAAAGAAAGAGAGAGACAGACACACACACACACAGAGAGAGA
This 245-nucleotide unclassified non-coding RNA is filed under the name Hevea brasiliensis (rubber tree). Lineage: Eukaryota; Viridiplantae; Streptophyta; Magnoliopsida; Malpighiales; Euphorbiaceae. The record is from RNAcentral.